This 301-nucleotide ribosomal RNA is filed under the name uncultured bacterium. RNAcentral describes it as "partial 16S ribosomal RNA". It matches the Rfam family "Bacterial small subunit ribosomal RNA", at positions 509 to 807 of the family's 1533-position model. The record is from RNAcentral.
CAGUCGCCGCGGUAAUACGAAGGGUGCAAGCGUUAAUCGGAAUUACUGGGCGUAAAGCGUGCGUAGGCGGUGAGUUAAGUCUGCUGUGAAAUCCCCGGGCUCAACCUGGGAAUGGCAGUGGAUACUGGCUCGCUAGAGUGUGUCAGAGGAUGGUGGAAUUCCCGGUGUAGCGGUGAAAUGCGUAGAGAUCGGGAGGAACAUCAGUGGCGAAGGCGGCCAUCUGGGACAACACUGACGCUGAGGCACGAAAGCGUGGGGAGCAAACAGGAUUAGAUACCCGCGUAGUCCCUGUCUCUUAUAC